RNAcentral lists this long non-coding RNA (330 nucleotides) under Phoenix dactylifera (date palm). RNAcentral's name for it is "long non-coding RNA (PDAC_LNC005053)". The record is from RNAcentral. Lineage: Eukaryota; Viridiplantae; Streptophyta; Magnoliopsida; Arecales; Arecaceae.
GCUGCCACCCUCUUAUGCAUGGCCUUUUGGAUUAGCAGCAAGUCGGUCUUCAUGUCUGCAACAAGUGCAAAAUCGAAGAGAAUGUUAGAAAACUUAACUCUGCGAUGGGGUAAAAGGAUAAAAAUUUCAAGGAAUUUUAUCCUGAGGGCCGGCUGGGCUCAGACCAACAUUAAUUAAUGUCUCCUUGGACAAUAGUUCCUGCAACCGGAGAAUCUUCGAUUUAAGAAGGAUGUUCGAGGAUCUUUGAUCAUCACUGGACAACCUCGGAGGUCGAUUCAAAGACCUCCGAGGUGUCCUCCACAGGGUCUCAAACCACUAUGGUCGCUCAAA